This 1172-nucleotide ribosomal RNA is filed under the name uncultured organism. RNAcentral's name for it is "bacterial SSU rRNA". It matches the Rfam family "Bacterial small subunit ribosomal RNA", at positions 288 to 1470 of the family's 1533-position model. The record is from RNAcentral.
GGGUCUGAGAGGAUGAUCCCCCACACUGGUACUGUGACACGGACCAGACUCCUACGGGAGGCAGCAGUGAGGAAUAUUGGUCAAUGGACGCAAGUCUGAACCAGCCAUGCCGCGUGCAGGAUGAAUGCCCUAUGGGUUGUAAACUGCUUUUCUACAAGAAGAAACUUCCUGAUGUACCAGGAACUGACGGUAUUGUAGGAAUAAGCAUCGGCUAACUCCGUGCCAGCAGCCGCGGUAAUACGGAGGAUGCAAGCGUUAUCCGGAUUCAUUGGGUUUAAAGGGUGCGUAGGCGGGGUAGUAAGUCAGUGGUGAAAGCCUGCGGCUUAACCGUAGAAUUGCCAUUGAUACUGCUAUUCUUUGAGUGCAGUUGAGGUAGGCGGAAUGUGUAAUGUAGCGGUGAAAUGCUUAGAUAUUACACAGAACACCGAUUGCGUAGGCAGCUUACUAAACUGUAACUGACGCUGAGGCACGAAAGCGUGGGGAGCGAACAGGAUUAGAUACCCUGGUAGUCCACGCUGUAAACUAUGAUCACUCGCUGUUGGCGAUACAUUGUCAGCGGCUGAGCGAAAGCAUUAAGUGAUCCACCUGGGGAGUACGGCCGCAAGGUUGAAACUCAAAGGAAUUGACGGGGGCCCGCACAAGCGGUGGAACAUGUGGUUUAAUUCGAUGAUACGCGAGGAACCUUACCUGGGCUUAAAUGCAGAACGACGUACCGGGAAACUGGUACUCCCUUCGGGGCGGACUGCAAGGUGCUGCAUGGUUGUCGUCAGCUCGUGCCGUGAGGUGUCGGGUUAAGUCCCAUAACGAGCGCAACCCUCAUUGUUAGUUGCCAGCGAGUAAUGUCGGGGACUCUAACAAAACUGCCGGUGUAAACCGUGAGGAAGGUGGGGAUGACGUCAAAUCAGCACGGCCCUUAUGUCCAGGGCUACACACGUGUUACAAUGGCCAGUACAAAGGGCAGCUACCACGCGAGUGGAUGCUAAUCUCUAAAGCUGGUCUCAGUUCGGAUUGAAGUCUGCAACUCGACUUCAUGAAGCUGGAAUCGCUAGUAAUCGCGCAUCAGCCAUGGCGCGGUGAUACGUUCCCGGGCCUUGUACACACCGCCCGUCAAGCCAUGGAAGCUUGGGGUACCUGAAGUCCGUAACCGAAAGGAUCGGCCUAGGGUAAAACAA